AAAAAUUAAUAAAAGAAAAUUCUAAGUUACGAACAGAAGGGGAUGAAUUAAUAAAUGAAAACAAAAAAUUAAAGAGCUCCAGAAAGGAACUAAAAAAGCAAAUAGAAGAAAAAGAAUUGGAAAUAAAAAAACUUCGUGAAUUAAAUGACGGUUUGCAAAUUAGUUUCAUUCAAAAACUAAGGAGUCUACUAAGGAGUAUGAAUCUAAGUUAGAGCAACUUUCAAACUCAAGAGAACGGUUAGAUUACUCUCAGAAUUAUCCAGCAAUUGGAAUUUUGCGUACUUCAGACGAUUUCCGAAGGGUACACAUUGGUAGAAACCAGUGGGUCACUGAAAAACAGUACAGUAAUUUACUAAAUAAUUCAAAAACACCCAGUCAAUGUGCUAGUAAUAUAUUAACGCUAGUUUUUCAGUAUUGAAGAAUUAACGACUAGCACAAAAACUGGAUAUGAAAGUAAUAAGAAACUAAGUAAAUUACGUGACUUAAUAAAGAAACGAAGAGAUUGGGUAAAUUAAAAAUGCCCAAAAUUGGACGAAAUAAAAUACGGUGCUUGUGAAGAUUAUUAUAUAUAUUGGAUGAAACAUAUUUAUAAACCAAAUAAAGAAGGAAAAACAUUGUUUUGUGUCAGAUAUGGUUGAACUUUGAUAGUUUUGCGGGAAGAAAAA
Molecule: long non-coding RNA, 665 nt
Organism: Monomorium pharaonis (pharaoh ant)
Lineage: Eukaryota; Metazoa; Arthropoda; Insecta; Hymenoptera; Formicidae
Exons: 4
Source: RefSeq, a predicted model, not a curated record